GCCCCGCCCGGUGCUGGCGCAGCUGCACGCCGGCCUCGGCUUAAGGAGAGUCCCCACCAGGCUUCCCAAGAGGCGGCCGACCCCAUCGUCUCUGCCUGGGCCUUUCGCAUUACCGUUGAUUCAGCAAGGAGAACUCCCGGUGUCGCCGCGGGGUUCCCCGAGGCAAUCGUCUACCCGGCACCCCAAGCCUCCCGGGACUACUCGCGGAGGACCAGCACCCACCUCUGCAAGAAGUCACAGAGGGGAAUGAACCAAGCUUGAAGGCACUGGGCAGAAGCCAGUGCCUAUGGACAGUUAGCGCAUGUUCGACCAACUGGCCAAUGGGGGCCCCCCAAAGAUAAUCAUCGCUUGCCGUAUGUCACACGAGCAAGCUAACCUAAACUCAAUGUGUGAAAUGAGAAGAAAGAGAAGGAUGAGCAGACACGAGCAGGAAGAAUUUUGAAAAGUGAUCGAAUUUGGCUUCUGAUCAAUACAGAUCAGUUGGGGGAAGACGUGUGGCAGAAACCCAAAGCAAAUUUGGGAAAAUCAGGAGCACAGGUAGGUUGUGACAUAAUAAAUUGCCUUGGAUGUAAGACAGUAGCUUCAUAAAAGAAAGCAAAAGGCAGCAAAGAUAAUCGCCUACGAGAAAGUUACCACCGCAGAGGCAUGCUUGGGGAGACCCGGGGAGAAAGAAGGGCCACAGACACCAUCAGCAGCAAAGCGGUAAGGUUGUAUCGGCUGGCAGCUCCCCCUUCGCGAACUUUAUAAAAGCACUGACAAGUGCUUUCUGAUUCCUGAUUCGAUUCUAUGAUUUCAAUACGUCACCCAUCUGAUCAUUACUGAGGACUGUUCCAUGUGACCUUCCUUCACAGACUAUAAGGGGCUAGUAAGGAGGUAAGACCGUACUUUACGGUGCCAGGAAGUGCCCAGAAGGGAGAGAGAGCUCACCUCCACCUGAAGGAGUAGGUCUUUAUUUCUUAACAAAAAUUAAUUCGCUAAUACCCAAAUAUCUACAUUUUGAGAAAAAUUUAGUUGCGGCCAUUUCUUGAUUUGCAGAUUUGGGGAGCAAAUCCAGGGAAGAGGAAGCAUACUUUCAUUAUUUUUUUAAACGUGUAUGACACAUUUCAAACAAACGCAAGAGCAGAGAAAUUAAACGAUGAACCCACAAUUGUCAGUUUUUUCCCAACUUUUCUCAGCAACUUUUCGGAGCGUUUUAAAGCAAACCUCACAUAUGCUGUUUCGUGCAAAAACUAUUUGACUAUGUACCCAUAACAAACAAGGGCUUCAAAAUAACUGCACUAUCGUUAUCCCUACUAACAAAACGAACAACAAUUCCUUCACUGAAUUCUCAGUCCAUGUGAAAAUCUCCCCGCCUGUCUCCUAACGAUCUUUUUAUACUGGUUUGCCGGUAUCAGGAUCCAAACAAGGUGUUCGCGCUGCGUUUACUGAACGUGAAUUUAGAUUCAACCCAGUCUAUCCAUUUGGGUGACGUCUACCAGAGAUCAUGCGUUCAACACACGGGCUCAUGGACCUGGCUGUCGUCCCAGCACUUAGAAGGGCCACAGACCUGGACCCAGCACUGGCCCACUCUUAAGGCAGUGGAGGGGCCAGCAUCUGGCACAGAGGAAGAAAGAAGUACAGAGGCCAGAAAGGCAGAGAUGCGGUACCUGGUCUAUCACGGACUCACCACCCCCCGGGCCGGGUCUCCCAAACCAGGUGAUGGGAGUGGCAGCCACUUUUCUAAGCACUGUACUGCUCAUCUGCCUAGGUGAGGGAAGUCGGCGAGAGAGGCCUCUGUUGCACGGAAACCCGGGACCCCCAUGGAGGUAGGACAGCUGUCACAGGAAAAGAGGACACGGCUCCUAAACGGGGCAGCACGUCCAGUUUACUCACCGGAAUAGCUGGCCCACGCAAUUUCUGGCUGUCCCCAACCUAUUACAGGGUCUGCAGGAACAAAAGUGGUAACUCCACUACAGUACUACCUGAUUUGUAUAGCAGGGCAUUUCCAAAUCUGGUGACAGGAACCUGACUUGAACCACCAUGGCAGAGAAUCAAGGACCCUUACACGGCUCCCAGAUUGGGUGGUUUCCAAACUCGGGGCCUCUUUAUGAAGCAGAAGCCAGGUAACUUGGGGGUCAGUAUCCCACAGUUAACAACUCUUCCUUCCAGCCUUCCCAAAAGGGAUCUUCCAACAUUCACCCUCCACCCAGGAAGGGAAACCCCCAGUAGUAAAAUCAAGGCGAGAACUCUUCCUAAUCCUUUCUGAGUGGGAGGAGAAAGGGCCUCAGCAGGGACUUAGCUUGUGUGGAUACAUGGUUAGGACAAUGGCUUGGCUGAAUAGCUUGGAGGAAUUUGGGAAGAACAGAGUAGGUAAUGGACUGGUUUCGGGAAGGAGUAUAAUUAAAUAUGUCAGAAUGCAUGAGAAAUCGUCUGUCCCAUAUGAAUGUCCAGUCGCAUCCCAUGUGAAUCCUACUGCAAAAGAGGCUGUUUAAUAAUUGUGUGAACAUUAUGUCCCAUUCUAUAAACGCCAAUCUCUGUUUCUAGUCAUCUUGAUGCUUACUCAGUGGGUUCGGGGUAAAAAAAAAAAAAAGAAAAAAAAAAAAGGCCAUGGUGGCAGAAAUGGAUGCCAAGCCUGGGCUAAACCACAGGGUGUCCCUCUCAACAAAGUUAAUGACAUGGUUCCUUGAAGGAACCAGACAGCUCCUUGUGGAAAGCUGAUUACAAUGGACCCUUUCAUAAUAGAGGGGUGGAUGAUCUGUCCUUAGUGGCAAAGAGAUUUAUUCUAGAUUUGGAUUUGUUUUCCUUACCUGUCAGACCUCUGCUAGAAUCGCACUGAAGGCCUCACACAACGUCGUGGCACCUCACAUGACCAUGCCUCUACCCGAGGGCCCCAGUGAGGGAAGCACGGUGAUAGGCCAGUGUCCACGAGUGUCGCGAGCUUUAUUCUUGUUUACCAUUGUCCACAAGCAUGGAAUCACGGCCUAAUGAAAAUGAUGUUAUGGAGACAGCUUGGGGACACAUCUUGAAAUUGCGAUGCUGCCUUGGAUAGGGUCUGUAUAGCACUGAAUCGGUGACUGGUACGGUGCUGUGCACCCAUGGCCAGAGUACAUGGGUCCAGAAACAAAGGGCAAGCACAGGGACUGCUUCUCAUGAUUACUGAAUAACACAUUUGCAAAAUAUUUUCUUCCUGUUCAACAGCUUCGCCUGUCAAAACUGAAUUUAUUCCCCCAAGAGAGAAGUCCUUCCACCAGAACUCGCAGGCCUGGCCCCACUGGAUCUGAACCAAGGCCGGCCAUUUUUGCCGCCCUGUGCACUGGGGAAAAUGAGCACCCAAGACAGACAUGGACGUCUUUUGUGGUCACUGCCACCGCUGUUUCCCAACUGGACUUAUGCAACAGUGUCCAAACCAGUCUCCCCUCCUCUGCCUUUUCUCCCCCACACUGUCCUUCCUCUCUAAAGCUUAAAUCAGUGCCUUUCACUCCCCGGCUGGCAAUGGCUUCCGGUUUCACUUCGAAUAAUGCCAAGUCCUACCCAAGACCUGCAGUGCCCUUUCUGUCCGGCCGCAGCCUCCCCACCAGACUGCAACGCCCUCUUCUGCCCUUGUGUCUUGAACUCCGGUCACGCUGGCCCUCUCGCGGAACCUCAGACACAUCAAGUUCCAGUCUAACGUUGGGCCCCUGAUGUUCCUUCCACUGGGACUUCUCCUCCCUCAGAUCUUUGGCUCUCACUCACCUUUAAAGCCUCCACUCCAGUGUCACCUCCUCAGGGACACUAGGUCACCCUCUGCUGUGCCCGUUGCCACACUCUCUACCGUAUCACCCACGUUCUUCUCUCGGGAGCCAUCAUUACGGCCUGAGAUCAUGCUCUUUACUGACUUACUGGAUUGGUUUCAAUACUGGAAUGUGAAGUUUGUGAUGCUUUAUCCUCUGCUGUAUUUCCAAAUGGUAAAACCAGUGCCUGGAAGGCUCA
Molecule: long non-coding RNA, 3948 nt
Organism: Felis catus (domestic cat)
Lineage: Eukaryota; Metazoa; Chordata; Mammalia; Carnivora; Felidae
Exons: 2
Source: RefSeq, a predicted model, not a curated record